This 31-nucleotide small RNA is filed under the name Bombyx mori (domestic silkworm). RNAcentral describes it as "piRNA piR-bmo-1329266". Lineage: Eukaryota; Metazoa; Arthropoda; Insecta; Lepidoptera; Bombycidae. The record is from RNAcentral.
AUACUCGGAAAUGGUGCGAGAUAUCGCAGAU